CAGCCGCCGCGGGAAUACGAAGGGGGCUAGCGUUGUUCGGAAUUACUGGGCGUAAAGCGCACGUAGGCGGAUUGUUAAGUUAGGGGUGAAAUCCCAGGGCUCAACCCUGGAACUGCCUUUAAUACUGGCAAUCUCGAGUCCGAGAGAGGUGAGUGGAAUUCCGAGUGUAGAGGUGAAAUUCGUAGAUAUUCGGAGGAACACCAGUGGCGAAGGCGGCUCACUGGCUCGGUACUGACGCUGAGGUGCGAAAGCGUGGGGAGCAAACAGGAUUAGAGACCCCGGUAGUCCCUGUCUCUUAUAC
This 301-nucleotide ribosomal RNA is filed under the name uncultured bacterium. RNAcentral describes it as "partial 16S ribosomal RNA". It matches the Rfam family "Bacterial small subunit ribosomal RNA", at positions 509 to 807 of the family's 1533-position model. The record is from RNAcentral.